CCUACGGGAGGCUGCAGUGGGGAAUAUUGCACAAUGGGGGAAACCCUGAUGCAGCGACGCCGCGUGAGCGAUGAAGUAUUUCGGUAUGUAAAGCUCUAUCAGCAGGGAAGAAAAUGACGGUACCUGACUAAGAAGCCCCGGCUAACUACGUGCCAGCAGCCGCGGUAAUACGUAGGGGGCAAGCGUUAUCCGGAUUUACUGGGUGUAAAGGGAGCGUAGACGGGUGUGCAAGGCAGAUGUGAAAGCCCGGGGCUCAACCCCGGGACUGCAGUUGGAACUGUGUGGCUGGAGUGUCGGAGUGGCAGGCGGAAUUCCUAGUGUAGCGGUGAAAUGCGUAGAUAUCAGGAGGAACACCGGUGGCGAAGGCGGGCUGCUGGACUGCGACUGACGUUGAGGCCCGAAAGCGUGGGGAGCAAACAGGAUUAGAUACCCCGGUAGUC
This 440-nucleotide ribosomal RNA is filed under the name uncultured bacterium. Its description in RNAcentral is "partial 16S ribosomal RNA". It matches the Rfam family "Bacterial small subunit ribosomal RNA", at positions 338 to 795 of the family's 1533-position model. The record is from RNAcentral.